RNAcentral lists this ribosomal RNA (200 nucleotides) under uncultured bacterium. RNAcentral's name for it is "partial 16S ribosomal RNA". It matches the Rfam family "Bacterial small subunit ribosomal RNA", at positions 29 to 259 of the family's 1533-position model. The record is from RNAcentral.
AACGAACGCUGGCGGCAGGCUUAACACAUGCAAGUCGAGCGCCUCGCAAGAGGAGCGGCAGACGGGUGAGUAACGCGUGGGAAUCUACCGUGCCCUAAGGAAUAGCUCCGGGAAACUGGAAUUAAUACCUUAUACGCCCUUCGGGGAAAGAUUUAUCGGGGUAUGAUGAGCCCGCGUUGGAUUAGCUAGUUGGUGGGGUA